CAGCAGCCGCGGUAAUACGUAGGUGGCAAGCGUUAUCCGGAUUUAUUGGGCGUAAAGGGAACGCAGGCGGUCUUUUAAGUCUGAUGUGAAAGCCUUCGGCUUAACCGGAGUAGUGCAUUGGAAACUGGGAGACUUGAGUGCAGAAGAGGAGAGUGGAACUCCAUGUGUAGCGGUGAAAUGCGUAGAUAUAUGGAAGAACACCAGUGGCGAAAGCGGCUCUCUGGUCUGUAACUGACG
RNAcentral lists this ribosomal RNA (237 nucleotides) under Klebsiella pneumoniae. RNAcentral's name for it is "partial 16S ribosomal RNA". It matches the Rfam family "Bacterial small subunit ribosomal RNA", at positions 509 to 745 of the family's 1533-position model. The record is from RNAcentral. Lineage: Bacteria; Pseudomonadati; Pseudomonadota; Gammaproteobacteria; Enterobacterales; Enterobacteriaceae.